Molecule: unclassified non-coding RNA, 462 nt
Filed under: Hevea brasiliensis (rubber tree)
Lineage: Eukaryota; Viridiplantae; Streptophyta; Magnoliopsida; Malpighiales; Euphorbiaceae
Source: RNAcentral
CACAGGGUCAGGUUCUCGUGUUUGUAGAGGAUUAUAUUCUUGUAAGGGAGUCUCAGGAAUUGGGUUGCCACAGAAUGCACCGAUAUCUACAUGCUGUGUUUAUGAGUCACCUAUUCAACUUGCAGGCUACACAUUGGAUCUUCCCAAACUCCAAUGCUCUUCAUAUACAUCAGUAUACAGUUUUGGGGGCAAUGAGGGAGAUCCGAUGAAAUGGAAUUUUGGGAUAUCUCUACAAUAUAAUGGUUCAUAUUAUAGUAAUAUCUGCAAGGAUUGUGAAUCUAGUGGGGGCUUGUGUGGCUUUGCAGGUUUUGAUCGGUCAUUUGCCUGCAUAUGCCGGAAUGGGAAGAAUACAACCACCAGUUGCUUUGCUCAAGGGCUUGCCUGGAGCGGGACAUGGNNNNGUUCACGCCAUUUCUUUUUUUGUUCAAUCAUUAAACUGGUCCAGCAGGGCUUGUGGGCUGU